CUUGCAUUUUUUUUAGUAUGUCUUUUACAUAUUUACCCAACUGUAUUCUUUACGUUCCAGUUGUUUGCCAUUUAUAUGACAUGCCUUUUUUGUUGCAAUUGUUUUAUCAUAACUUUUCCAGAUCAGACAUGGGAAGCAGUGUCAUCAACUUCAAACCAGAAGACUAAAGCAUGGGACACCGCAACAUUCAAGUAUUGUCCAGUAGUCUGAUUUGAGAAGUGGAUGAACACGAACAAGUUUAUGAAGUACCUAACAAAGGUCCCAGAAGGACUUGAAAGCUCUCCACACUUUCUGGGUUCAUGCUUUAGUGCUCAACACUACUGGCAUGGGAAAAAACAUUUAAGUAUCUUCAUUUCUAACAGCAGAUAAAGCAUAUUUACUAGCAUUUCAUUUACAAGCGAUAAAUACAGGAGAACAGUUCUUCACUGCCUAACCCAAAAUAUCUGCCACACAUUUCAAAUUUUGCUACUUUUUGUUUGCACUCCUAAUCAAAGUUUGUGUGGGUGUUUCUUAACUUCAUUCUUCUGUAACUCAGCACAGUUUACUUUCAUUUCUUGGCUGACAUGACUUUUCCAGAGGCAGACUAUGAACUGAAGAAUUCAGCGUCUUGUUAUGUAAGGCCAUCGUGCUUCAGUGGACCAUUUCAUGCCAAUUCAGCCACAGAAUCUAAACCAGGGCGGCCAACCUGCGGCUCUGGAGCUGCAUGCGGCUCUUCAGAAGUUAAUAUGCAUUUCCUUGAAUCUUUGCACAUGCACAUGGUGACCAGCUUCCAAAUGACUCCAGAAUUAAUUGUACUCAUUGUACCAAAAGGCUAAUUAGGAAACUUCUUUUUUUUAAUGCUAUGCAAUUUCUAUAAAUACAGUUGAAAAAUUAAAAAUUUAUUUCAGGCAAGCGCUGCCUGCACUUUUAUAUAGCUCUGAGUACAAUAAGGUCUUGACUGUGGCUACCACUACCACAUGCUUAACAAAAAAAUGUUUUACUAUGCCAUGACAGUACUAACUUUACCUAUUACCUUCAUUUGGCCAGUUUAAGGGGAAGGCUCGCAGGAUUAGGCGGAUUCAUGCAAAAACGUCACUUGCACUUAUCUAACCAGCAAGAAAAUGAGUUGCAUACAACAUGCGGUUGUUAACCAUCUCAAAGCUCUUAGCCCAGUGCUGCUCAACAUUUUGAGACUCCUGGUGGCCCCCUGAUAAGGCUCCCGGCGCAUCUAAGAAAACGCCAGCCUUUUGUUUUUGCUUGUUUUUUCGAUUACAGGAAAAAAAAAAAUAAAAAAAAUAAAGAGUACAGCGAUGCCUCUGUUGCAAAGGUCCCACAAGGACCACAGCAGGCCAGAACUAAUGCUUUAAAGACUGCGGAUUCCUCCUGGAAACCUCCUGGUUUACCGUGUGACUUUCAUUCAUCCACCUAACCCUGCCAACACCAUGCAGCACCCUGGUGGCAAGACUGAAGAUUUAAAUUUAAUUAUAUACCACAGAUGCUUCAAUGCCAUGCCUAGUUGAAGACGAAUCAGCACUGAAGACAAGCACAAGGCUUUGCAAACAAAGAUCCUCUGAGCAGCUGAUUCUUAAAAUAGAAGCUUUGGACUGAAGAGAUGCACAGAAAGCAGCAACAGAAAGGAUCUGGUAGGCCUUUUUGCUCAUCCUUUCCAUAGGUUCCCAUCAUGCCUAACACAGGAUUGCUCUUAACUGAAUGUUCUUAAGUGCUUUGACCCAAUCUGAGGACUUUCCAUCGGUUAUAACAGCAGGAAUUCUGCUUUUCUCAAACUUGUGCAGGCCCUUUGCCCUAGAUUUGUAGCUGUACU
Gavialis gangeticus (Gharial) is the source of this 1801-nucleotide long non-coding RNA. RefSeq lists it as uncharacterized. The transcript is spliced from 3 exons. The record is from RefSeq and is a predicted model, not a curated record. NCBI's taxonomy places the organism in Eukaryota, Metazoa, Chordata, Crocodylia, Gavialidae.